UACGUAGGGCGCAAGCGUUAUCCGGAAUUAUUGGGCGUAAAGAGCUCGUAGGCGGUUUGUCGCGUCUGCCGUGAAAGUCCGGGGCUCAACUCCGGAUCUGCGGUGGGUACGGGCAGGCUAGAGUGAUGUAGGGGAGACUGGAAUUCUCGGUGUAGCGGUGAAAUGCGCAGAUAUCGAGAGGAACACCAGUAGCGAAGGCGGUUCUCUGGGAAUGACCUGACGCUGAGGAGCGAAAGUGUGGGGAGCAAACAGG
Molecule: unclassified non-coding RNA, 253 nt
Filed under: uncultured Micrococcaceae bacterium
Lineage: Bacteria; Bacillati; Actinomycetota; Actinomycetes; Micrococcales; Micrococcaceae
Description: contains 16S-23S intergenic spacer region
Rfam family: Bacterial small subunit ribosomal RNA
Source: RNAcentral